This 465-nucleotide ribosomal RNA is filed under the name uncultured bacterium. Its description in RNAcentral is "partial 16S ribosomal RNA". It matches the Rfam family "Bacterial small subunit ribosomal RNA", at positions 28 to 507 of the family's 1533-position model. The record is from RNAcentral.
GACGAACGCUGGCGGCGUGCUUAACACAUGCAAGUCGAACGGAAAGGCCCCUUUUGGGUUACUCGAGUGGCGCACGGGUGAGUAACACGUGAGUAACCUGCCCUUCACUUCGGGAUAACUCCAGGAAACAGGGGCUCAUAUCGGUUAGGAAUCCUUGCUGCAGGGUGGGGGUUGGAUAGCUUCGGUGGUUUUGGUUGGACUCGCGGCUUAUCAGCUUGUUGGUGGGGUAGUGGCUUACCAAGCCGUUCAGGGGUAGCCGGCCGGCGAGGGGGACCGGCCACAUUGGGACUGAGAGACGGCCCAGACUCCUACGGGGGGCAGCAGUGGGGAAUAUUGCACAAAGGGCGGAAGCCGGAUGCAGCAACGCCGCGGGCGGGAUGACGGACUUCGGGUUGUAGAACAGUUUCAGCAGGGGCGAAGCUUGUGGUGACGGUACCUGCAGAAGAAGCACCGGCUAACUACGUG